This 407-nucleotide ribosomal RNA is filed under the name uncultured bacterium. Its description in RNAcentral is "bacterial SSU rRNA". It matches the Rfam family "Bacterial small subunit ribosomal RNA", at positions 28 to 416 of the family's 1533-position model. The record is from RNAcentral.
GACGAACGCUGGCGGCGUGCCUAACACAUGCAAGUCGAACGGAGCUUGCUUAAACGGAGACUUCGGUCAAAGUUUUCGUAAGCUUAGUGGCGGACGGGUGAGUAACGCGUGAGUAACCUGCCGUUCAGAGGGGGACAACAGUUGGAAACGACUGCUAAUACCGCAUAAUAUGUACGGAUCGCAUGGUCUGUACAUCAAAGAUUUAUUGCUGAGAGAUGGCCUCGCGUCUGAUUAGAUAGUUGGUGAGGUAAAGGCUCACCUAGGCGACGAUCUCUAGCUGGUCUGAGAGGAUGAUCAGCCACAUUGGGACUGAGACACGGCCCAGACUCCUACGGGAGGCAGCAGUGGGGAAUAUUGGGCAAUGGGCGCAAGCCUGACCCAGCAACGCCGCGUGAAGGAAGAAGGCC